RNAcentral lists this ribosomal RNA (419 nucleotides) under bacterium. RNAcentral's name for it is "partial 16S ribosomal RNA". It matches the Rfam family "Bacterial small subunit ribosomal RNA", at positions 355 to 776 of the family's 1533-position model. The record is from RNAcentral.
UGGGGGAUAUUGCACAAUGGGCGAAAGCCUGAUGCAGCGACGCCGCGUGGGGGAUGAAGGCCUUCGGGUUGUAAACUUCUUUUGCUCUGAACAAGGCAUGCUAAUGGGUGUGUUGAGUGUAGGGGUUGAUUAGCGCCGGCUAACUACGUGCCAGCAGCCGCGGUAAUACGUAGGGCGCGAGCGUUGUCCGGAAUUAUUGGGCGUAAAGGGCUUGUAGGUGGCUGGUUGCGUCUGUCGUGAAAGCUCAUGGCUUAACUGUGGGUUUGCGGUGGGUACGGGCUGGCUUGAGUGCAGUAGGGGAGGCUGGAAUUCCUGGUGUAGCGGUGAAAUGCGCAGAUAUCAGGAGGAAUACCGGUGGCGAAGGCGGGUCUCUGGGCUGUUACUGACACUGAGGAGCGAAAGCAUGGGGAGCGAACAGG